GCUCGCCCAUUGUUUGUCGGUGAUUGCUAGUAGCCAUUGCUUUAACUAGUUCAUCAAGUGUGGGGCCAGAAACGACCAAGAUGGCCGAAGAAGAGUGAUGGAAAGGGGGAGCGGCCGAAAUCUGUGGUAUCCUCCUUUGAUCCAUUAAUCGAAAAUCGAAAGAAUCCAGCGUUUCCGGCGAAACACGAAACCGACGAUUGAAACGCACAAUCUUCCAAGAUGACGAGGAAGAUUUCGAAGAUGUGUGCCGAAAGAAACAACCCCGGCUGGAUAGAAUCGCAGUGCCAACUACUUCAAGAUGUCCGCAGCUGCAACGAGACGAGCUUUCAGAGCAGCAGAAAACAGAGAGCGAGUCACCUGAGAAUCUUGAAAUGGGUUUUCAGGUUCGAAAAAUGGGCAAAUUGAUUGUCCAGCUAUGAAUGAAGUAAGAAACUUCGCAGCGUUUAAGAAACAAAACUACCAAACCUCGACUACCUACGAUAAGCUGCGGUUGGUCUGUACAACUGAUGAUAGUGAGCCGUUGUAAAUUAAUUCGUCUUUGUUGAAUAAAUGGUUAAAACUCAAUUAGUAACACCCUCA
Long non-coding RNA from Anopheles darlingi, 579 nucleotides. RefSeq lists it as uncharacterized. The record is from RefSeq and is a predicted model, not a curated record. Lineage: Eukaryota; Metazoa; Arthropoda; Insecta; Diptera; Culicidae. The transcript has 2 exons.